AUGCAACCUUGGAGUCUCCCCAAUUGCUGUCUAAGACCCCCUCACUUUCUCCUGGCUUCUUUGCCCACCUAUGGAAGGAGGAUGAACAUAUUUUCUGAAACCUCAACCAGGAGAGAUUGGGAUCACAAGUGGGUAGAAGCCGCAGAUUUGUGGUCAAAUGGAAGAAGGAUUUUCAGAGUGCAGGUGCAGAGCCACCAUCUGGCAGCUGUGCCUUCUGGGGCAUGUGGCCUCAUCGGUGACCGCAGUGGUCACUGCGGAUGGAUGAGGAAAGGAUGUGGAAAGGAUGAGAGCAUGGAGAUCCCAUGGCCCCUCUUCUAUACUCCAACUGAGAAGAGGCGCAUGUCACUUUGGUUCUUAGCUUCCUGCCCAGAACCAGUCGAGGGAAACAAAGAGUGCACCAAGAAGGGGAUAUGAGCCAGAUAUUUGUCCUAGUUUUGCAUUUUGAAUACAGCAAUGACAAAAAUGCAAUUCUUCCCUCACCCCAGAUUUGCUUAAAGGACACAUAAUAUUCCCAUCAAUUUCCAUGUAAGUACCUAGGAAAGUGCUCCUAGGAACAGCCCACCUGUGUUUGGCCCUGGGAAGUCUUCACAACCAUGCAUCCAAUUAGUCCCAUAGCAACCAUUCAUUCAUGCCACAAAUAUGUCCUGAGCACCUACUAUGUUCCAGGUACAGAACAAUUUAAUGAGUUCGUAAACUUUUCAUGCACUCGUCUCUGCACAUUUGUUAGAGUUGCCCUUUUGCAGUGUGUCUUUGGUCUCCCAUCUGCCUGGAAAACUCCUAUGCACUCCUCAAUGCCCAUCUCAAUUUCACUACCAUUGUGAAGCGUUUGCUCACAUCUCAUUCACUGCCCCCUCUUCUGGGGCCCUUGCUGUGACAUCUCAGUUGUUGCCCUGUUGGUCUCCCCACUAAACCUGAAUUACACAGGGGGUGACUUACUCAUUUAUUCAACAAACACUUAGCAAAGGAAAACUGUGUUUUACCAUAUCGAGGCCGUGGCAGAGAUCGGCUGUCAGUCUUCUUCAUGUUAGCUGCACCCAGCACAGGUUGAGUAGGGACUUGGUCAUAACAACGUCUUCCUCUAAGUACUCAGGCCCACUCUGUGCCUUGCAUGAUGCUUUGUAUUUUACAAAUAGCUUCUCACUGGCUUCUCUGCCCUCACCUGUACUCCUCUGCCCCAAGUCUGUU
This 1185-nucleotide long non-coding RNA is filed under the name Macaca mulatta (Rhesus monkey). Its description in RNAcentral is "lncRNA (ENSMMUG00000065067.1)". Lineage: Eukaryota; Metazoa; Chordata; Mammalia; Primates; Cercopithecidae. The record is from RNAcentral.